RNAcentral lists this microRNA precursor (76 nucleotides) under Canis lupus familiaris (dog). RNAcentral describes it as "mir-8799 microRNA precursor family". It matches the Rfam family "mir-8799 microRNA precursor family". RNAcentral also lists the same sequence under 1 other name. Lineage: Eukaryota; Metazoa; Chordata; Mammalia; Carnivora; Canidae. The record is from Rfam by way of RNAcentral.
GUGGGGAGGCCGGAUCCUGGGCUGUGUCCCGUCGCCCUGCGCCGUUGGAUUUGCGCUCCCGGCCGCGCAGCCCCCU